CCAAUAGCGUAUAUUAAAGUUGUUGCAGUUAAAAAGCUCGUAGUUGAAUUUCGGGAUCAAUAUGUCGGUCGUGCCUUCGGUACGUACUGGCAUCAUUGGUUUCUCCCUUCUGACAAACCAUGAUGUCAUUACUUUGGUGUUAUGGGGAGUUAGGACUGUUACUUUGAAAAAAUUAGAGUGUUUAAAGCAGGCAUUAGCUUGAAUACAUUAGCAUGGGAUAAGGAAAUAGGACGUUUGACCCUAUUUUGUUGGUUUCUAGGAUCGACGUAAUGAUUAAUAGGGAUAGUUGGGGGCAUUAGUAUUCAAUUGUCAGAGGUGAAAUUCUUGGAUUUAUUGAAGACUAACUACUGCGAAAGCAUUUGCCAAGGAUGUUUUCAUUAAUCAAGAACGAAAGUUAGGGGAUCGAAGACGAUCAGAUACCGUCGUAGUCUUAACCAUAAACUAUGCCGACUAGGGAUCGGAUGAUGUUAAUUUUUUAAUGACUCAUUCGGCGCCUUACG
RNAcentral lists this ribosomal RNA (500 nucleotides) under uncultured Glomeromycotina. RNAcentral describes it as "partial small subunit ribosomal RNA". It matches the Rfam family "Eukaryotic small subunit ribosomal RNA", at positions 591 to 1092 of the family's 1831-position model. Lineage: Eukaryota; Fungi; Glomeromycota. The record is from RNAcentral.